AUUAAAGUUUUAUUCUUGCUUUGUUAUUUGCGUAUAGGAUGUUUUACAUACAUGGAAUGUAGCCUAAAGGGUUUAUUUUGUAGUAAUUAAUAUUAUACAAUCAGAGUGUUUUGGAUAUAGUAAUCCUAUUAGUAUUGGUUAAAUGCGUGCCAGCUGCCGCGGUUAGACGUGAAUUACGAGUGAAUAUUGUUGAUUAGGAGUUAAUUGUUGAAUUUCAUGGUUGAAGUAGUUAUUUUGGUGAAAUGAUUAAAUUGUAAGUUGUGAAUGAGGAAGAUUAUGAAGCUUUGAAAUGUUAUAAUAAACUAGGAUUAGAUACCCUAUUAUUAAUUAUGUAAAUUUGAAUGUCAGGGUAGUAAUAGAUAUGGUCUUGAAACCCAAAGAAUUUGGCGGUAUUUUAGUCCUUUCAGAGGAACCUGUUCUGUAAUUGAUAAUACACGAUUUAUUUAACUUAAUUUUGUUAUCAGUUUAUAUACCGCCGUCAGUAAGAUUAUCUUGUGGAGAGUAUAAAAUUUCAUUAUAUUUAAUUGGAUAAUAUGUCAGGUCAAGGUGUAGCUAAUAAUUAAGUAGAAAUGGGUUACAAUAAAAUUAUUUAUUGGAUAGUAAGCUGUAAUGGUUACUUGAAAUUGGAUUUGAUUGUAAAUGGGUUUAAAUUGGCUUGUUGAUUAAGGCUCUAGAAUGUGCACAUAUCGCCCGUCGCUCUCGUUAUAAGAUGAGAUAAGUCGUAACAUAGUAGAUGUACCGGAAGGUGUAUCUGGAAUGU
RNAcentral lists this non-coding RNA (760 nucleotides) under Gryllodes sigillatus. Its description in RNAcentral is "12S ribosomal RNA". The stretch from base 348 to 754 matches the Rfam family "Microsporidia small subunit ribosomal RNA", at positions 752 to 1303 of the family's 1311-position model. The record is from RNAcentral. Lineage: Eukaryota; Metazoa; Arthropoda; Insecta; Orthoptera; Gryllidae.